GACGAACGCUGGCGGCGCGCCUAACACAUGCAAGUCGAACGGAGCUUGCUUGUCAGAUUCUUUCGGGGUGACGACUUGUAAGCUUAGUGGCGAACGGGUGAGUAACACGUGAGUAACCUGCCCCAGAGUGGGGGACAACAGUUGGAAACGACUGCUAAUACCGCAUAAGCCCACGGAACCGCAUGGUUCAGAGGGAAAAGGAGCAAUCCGCUUUGAGAUGGCCUCGCGUCCGAUUAGCUAGUUGGUGAGGUAACGGCCCACCAAAGCGACGAUCAGUAGCCGGCCUGAGAGGGCGACCGGCCACAUUGGGACUGAGACACGGCCCAA
Molecule: ribosomal RNA, 327 nt
Filed under: uncultured bacterium
Lineage: Bacteria
Description: bacterial SSU rRNA
Rfam family: Bacterial small subunit ribosomal RNA
Source: RNAcentral